Lingula anatina is the source of this 3696-nucleotide long non-coding RNA. The record is from RefSeq and is a predicted model, not a curated record. Lineage: Eukaryota; Metazoa; Brachiopoda; Lingulata; Lingulida; Lingulidae.
CAACACAGUAGCGUCAUUUUGCCAAACCAUGUAGCAGAACAACUGAUACAACUCUUUUUAUCAACUCUUUGUAAUAUGAGGAGCUGAUUGUGGGGGGAACUGAGUGUGGUUGAGUGGUAUUUGUAAAGCUAUAUAAUUUGUGGUUAGCAUUUUUUUCAUAUUGAAUAGCCAACCUUGGAUAAGUUAGCAUAUUGUGAGCCAUAGCCUUUUUUGAGACCACAAAAUACUGGCUAUUUAACAAAUGUCCUACAUAACAAACUGCCAUCUCUUCCUUGCAUGAAUGAGCACACACACUCCUGAAUUCACUCUCAUAAUAAGUGCAAAAAGGAUUAAUUGCUGAUAAUGAGAUAAUUAACGUAUUGAUUAGCCUUGCCCAUUUAAUUUACAUCUUUCCUGUAUACAUGAUUGUACAGUUUAACUCCCUUAUUUCUGAAUGCAUAUACCUGUAGCUAAUUAAGUAUAUGCUGUGUUUGGGUUUUAUCUGGUAGAUCUGUUCUCUGUUAUUAUUAUCUUAAUGAGUUGACACCCUGCCAGAUCAGUGAUAACAAAAUGUUUCAUACCCAUUCUGCUGGAAAAGUCGAUGAAAACCAGCAGGUUUUACUACCUGGUUGGGCUUUUCUUAGGUGUUUGUUCAAGAAAAUGAAGCAUGAUUGCCUUCCCUUAAAUUGAAGGCACACUAUGAGCAUUAGGCCUUUAUAUAACAAAAAAGUAUGAAUUUUUUCUGGGAGAUUUCAAUUCUUUUUUCAGCAAGGUAUACCAUAUCCCAUUAUAAUCUAUAAAAUCAUUAAAGUUCUAAAGUUCGUAGUUUUUUAAGUCAUUCUUGCAAUGGAUAAACAACAGAAAUUUAGAAAUGGGUUUAUAGAUAGUAACUUUCAUAGUGGUUCUAGUGAUAAAGGGGAAAUUUCUGAAAUUUUCAAGAAAAAAAAAAUUGACAAGGGACCAGAUAUUUCCUGUGUUAGACAUGCAUGAAAACAGAAAGUUUACCUGUAUUUUUUCAGUUAAACAUGCUGUGUGUGUACAGGCAAGCGAAUCAAAUUUUUAAACAAGAAAUUUGAAUUUGAAAUAUCUGGAUUUUUUCAGAUGGUUGUAUGCAUAACACAUAAGUCUCUCAAAGAUAACUAAGAAAAUGUGAAAAGCUGAUACUCAGCCACUAGACAACAAGUUAAACUGGGAGAGGUGCUCUGUUCCACAACACUGGUUCUGCACAUGGACAGAGGUCAAAUUCUUCUGCAAAUAGAUGGCAUCAAGACAGACAUUCAUUAAUAAGCCAGCUAUGCACAGGCACUCCUUCCUUUGGGGGCCAGUGGAACCAGGAAUCCUGGUCGGUCAACUUAGCAUCCUGCUGAGCGAGUGACUCCUUCUAGUGCAUUACAACCAUUACCCAGUGCUAAUGUCGACAUGGAAUUUGAUAAUGAACUAGAUGGAGAGAUUAAAGGAGGUGACAGAAAGCCCAAAUCCCCCUAGCUUAUGGCAAGUGCUGUAUUUCCAUGGACAAAAUGGGCCGGACAAAAUGGAUGUGAAAGAACCAUGCUUUGAUUUUGACAGAAUUCUUUAAAAACAAACUUAUGGCAUUUUCCUUGUCUGACUGACUUUGAGUUCUCCUGGGUAUGAAGCCCUGUGCAAGUUUCAUUUUCUGAAAGUCCACAGCAACAGUGAAGGCCCCUGGUAGAAACAGUCUGAUGAAAGAGCAUUUGCCACUGACAUACCUGGUCUAUCAUCCCUGCAAGGUGAACUUCAGAGCUAUCUAUCAGUAGGAAAGGUUAAAUAAUGAGGAAAAUCAGGAAUAGGUUGCUGAAGGUAUCAUGCAUGAGGCUUGCCAGUAUCACUGUCUCCUAGCAACAGGAGUCCUUGGAGGUUAACGGGAGCCAGACUGGAGAAGGGCCCCUUGAGUUGCAUUGAACAGAAAUAUUCUUCUGAAGCUAGUCACAUGAGUUUGCCAAACAAGAGGCCCUGGUUGAGGUUGUAUUCUCCUAAACCGUGUUUGACACUUUUAGACAGCUGAGGGGCACAGUACAUCUCACCCUGAAACUCCAAAGGCAAAAAAAAAGCUGCUAUUAUUAAGUAAUGGACUUCGAAGCUGUACUUUAGUCAAAGAAAAUAAAUUAACUCACCAACUGAGUUAUAACUUCCUGCCUAAUUGUGCUUUUCUGAAGCAAAUAUGUGUUUGUUGCUUUGAAACUUUUCUGCUGAUUUUGCAAAGGCAGUUAAUAGUAGUUAAUAAGGCUGGUUAUUUUCAACUUUUUUGGCUAUGACCUGUUACUUUUGUGCAUCCUCAUUUUAUAUUACUUUCAUCAUUUUAUAGAUGGGCUUUAUUUAUAUAUAUUCUUAUCACCAUUGUCCACCCUAUAACUGCCACUUCAGGGCUAUUCACACUGGCGAUUUCGACCUCGGUUUAGGCCCAAUCACUGCAGCUAUGUCCCUGCACAUUGAAAUAUCUCAUUGAAAUAUUUCUUGACCCAAGUAAAUUAAAUAUUUUGUACAGCAUAACAAUUGUCACUUCUUGAACUCCCCCUAUGUUGUUCAUAUUACUUUCUAAUGAGAACAAUAGUGCUCAUGCUUAACAGGAAGUACAGCUGAUCAUGAUGAAAAGCUAUCGCUGCCCAUUUCUGUGAAAGCAAAGAAAGUGGGUUUAUUUUAUUGCACCGUGGUUUACUUGCCAGUGUGAAUGUCCCUUGUAUUUAUCUUUUACUUCAAAUUUCCUGAGUGACUUUCUUUGGUAAGAAUGGAAGUUCCUUUUGAAAAUCAGCAUGAUCAUAUUAUUUUUACAAUAGUAAUUAAAUUUUUGGUCACAUGGAUUUUGGCAAAGCUCACCCUAUAAGUAACAAACUUUUCUUUUGUUCUUCUUCAAGUUUGCUGAGUGGGUUUGUUUAGUGAGUAUACAUUCUUUUUGAAAAUCAGCAUGAUCAGAUAUCUUUAGACAGGUUAUGUGUUAUGUUGUUGUGCAUGUAUUUUGGUUAUGCUCACCCCAUCAGUGACAAACUGUACUUUUGUUUUACUGAAAUUUGUUGAACAGUUUGUUGUGUAAAAAAGCUUUAGUUAAAAAAUCAAAUAUAUUGGUUAAUUGCCACACAAUACUGCACAUUUUGUGAUGUUUUGCAAUCCUGUUGUCCAGUGUUUUCUUUUAAAAACAGUUAAUUGAGCUUUGUAAACAUUUUAAAAUUGUAUCAGAAUUAUUGAUUUUUUAAGUAACUGGGAGUGACUUUUUCCAAUUUUUUGACUUCUAUGAAUAAUGUGGUUGCAGCAUUUCUAUAUUAGUCAAUAUUUCAAAUAAAGAGCUUAACUUGUGCACAUGGUACAAAUUGAGGACUUGCAUAAACUAGCAAGUUCAGUACAAAAAAGCUGACGUGUUUUGAAAAGCAGGUAUACACUUUUUAGGAAGUUGCUCACUGUUAUCACUGAAAAGUUGAUUUUUUAAUUGCUAUGCUCACUGAAAUAUUUUAGUUUAUGUUAAAAUGGAGCAAUGGGGAUAACUUUUUUUCUGUUAAGGGUCUGUAUAUCUGAACUGCUUUGCUGUCUACUUCUAUUUGAAUACUCGUAGAUUGGAUACAAAUAUGCAUUGUUUCAAAAGUCAUGCUUCAAGUUUGCCCCAUAAUUACGAAUUAUACCAAAUAAUUUCACCUUAUAAAUGGUUAAGAUUUCUUAGAAAUAUAUAUUGACUUUCUGUUGCAUCAAGCAGUAAAGUACAACUGGUAAAGA